Molecule: non-coding RNA, 69 nt
Organism: Ictidomys tridecemlineatus (thirteen-lined ground squirrel)
Lineage: Eukaryota; Metazoa; Chordata; Mammalia; Rodentia; Sciuridae
Source: Rfam
GGGGAUAUAGCUCAGUGGUAGAGCCCUUGCCUGGCAAGUAUAAGGCCCUGGGUUUGAUCCCCAGCACCG